AAGAGUAUAGUAUAAUGGUAGUACAAUGAUCUCCAAAGUCAUCAAGUUUUGGUUCAAAUCCGAAUACUCUUG
RNAcentral lists this transfer RNA (72 nucleotides) under Handroanthus impetiginosus. RNAcentral's name for it is "Tabebuia impetiginosa tRNA". It matches the Rfam family "tRNA". Rfam says of the family: Transfer RNA (tRNA) molecules are approximately 80 nucleotides in length. Their secondary structure includes four short double-helical elements and three loops (D, anti-codon, and T loops). RNAcentral also lists the same sequence under 1 other name. The record is from Rfam by way of RNAcentral. Lineage: Eukaryota; Viridiplantae; Streptophyta; Magnoliopsida; Lamiales; Bignoniaceae.